CAAAUGAUGCUCGGAACUGGAAUUACCAUCUGAACGCGUACCACGCAAAUCGAAGAUACGAUGCCGUGCACAUUACCUCCGCUGUUACUCGGAUGACUGAU
Molecule: small nucleolar RNA, 101 nt
Filed under: Trypanosoma vivax Y486
Lineage: Eukaryota; Euglenozoa; Kinetoplastea; Trypanosomatida; Trypanosomatidae
Description: Small nucleolar RNA TBR12
Rfam family: Small nucleolar RNA TBR12
About the family: TBR12 was one of seventeen snoRNAs identified in Trypanosoma brucei. Together with TBR2, TBR6 and TBR4 it is a part of snoRNA gene cluster that is tandemly repeated. These 4 snoRNA genes are transcribed as a polycistronic RNA transcript.
Source: Rfam by way of RNAcentral